UGGGGAAUAUUGCACAAUGGGCGCAAGCCUGAUGCAGCCAUGCCGCGUGUGUGAAGAAGGCCUUCGGGUUGUAAAGCACUUUCAGCGAGGAGGAAGGGUAGUGUGUUAAUAGCACAUUGCAUUGACGUUACUCGCAGAAGAAGCACCGGCUAACUCCGUGCCAGCAGCCGCGGUAAUACGGAGGGUGCAAGCGUUAAUCGGAAUUACUGGGCGUAAAGCGCACGCAGGCGGUUUGUUAAGUCAGAUGUGAAAUCCCCGCGCUUAACGUGGGAACUGAAUUUGAAACUGGCAAGCUAGAGUCUUGUAGAGGGGGGUAGAAUUCCAGUUGUAGCGGUGAAAUGCGUAGAGAUCAGGAGGAAUACCGGUGGCGAAGGCGGCCCCCUGGACAAAGACUGACGCUCAGGUGCGAAAGCGUGGGGAGCAAACA
Molecule: ribosomal RNA, 427 nt
Filed under: uncultured bacterium
Lineage: Bacteria
Description: partial 16S ribosomal RNA
Rfam family: Bacterial small subunit ribosomal RNA
Source: RNAcentral